RNAcentral lists this ribosomal RNA (253 nucleotides) under uncultured bacterium. RNAcentral describes it as "partial 16S ribosomal RNA". It matches the Rfam family "Bacterial small subunit ribosomal RNA", at positions 524 to 776 of the family's 1533-position model. The record is from RNAcentral.
UACAGAGGGUGCGAGCGUUAAUCGGAAUUACUGGGCGUAAAGGGCGCGUAGGCGGUUGAUUAAGUUGUAUGUGAAAUCCCUGGGCUUAACCUAGGAACUGCAUAGAAUACUGGUUGACUGGAGUGCGGUAGAGGGUAGUGGAAUUUCCGGUGUAGCGGUGAAAUGCGUAGAUAUCGGAAGGAACACCAGUGGCGAAGGCGGCUACCUGGACUGACACUGACGCUGAGGCGCGAAAGCGUGGGUAGCAAACAGG